This 467-nucleotide ribosomal RNA is filed under the name uncultured bacterium. RNAcentral's name for it is "partial 16S ribosomal RNA". It matches the Rfam family "Bacterial small subunit ribosomal RNA", at positions 28 to 507 of the family's 1533-position model. The record is from RNAcentral.
GAUGAACGCUGGCGGCGUGCUUAACACAUGCCAGUCGAACGGAAAGGCUCCUGCUUGCUGGGGUACUCGAGUGGCGAACGGGUGAGUAACACGUGGGUGAUCUGCCCUGCACUUCGGGAUAAGCCUGGGAAACUGGGUCUAAUACCGGAUAGGACCACAUUUUGGAUGGUGUGGUGGAAAGUUUUUCGGUGUGGGAUGAGCUCGCGGCCUAUCAACUUGUUGGUGGGGUAAUGGCCUACCAAGGCGUCGACGGGUAGCCGGCCUGAGAGGGUGUACGGCCACAUUGGGACUGAGAUACGGCCCAGACUCCUACGGGAGGCAGCAGUGGGGAAUAUUGCACAAUGGGCGCAAGCCUGAUGCAGCGACGCCGCGUGGGGGAUGACGGCCUUCGGGUUGUAAACUCCUUUCGCUAGGGACGAAGCGUUUUUGUGACGGUACCUGGAGAAGAAGCACCGGCUAACUACGUG